This 305-nucleotide ribosomal RNA is filed under the name uncultured bacterium. RNAcentral describes it as "bacterial SSU rRNA". It matches the Rfam family "Bacterial small subunit ribosomal RNA", at positions 337 to 634 of the family's 1533-position model. The record is from RNAcentral.
GCCUACGGGGCGCAGCAGUAGGGAACCUUCCACAAUGGGCGAAAGCCUGAUGGAGCAACGCCGCGUGGGUGAAGAAGGUCUUCGGAUCGUAAAACCCUGUUGUUAGAGAAGAAAGUGCGUGAGAGUAACUGUUCACGUUUCGACGGUAUCUAACCAGAAAGCCACGGCUAACUACGUGCCAGCAGCCGCGGUAAUACGUAGGUGGCAAGCGUUAUCCGGAUUUAUUGGGCGUAAAGAGAACGCAGGCGGUCUUUUAAGUCUGAUGUGAAAGCCUUCGGCUUAACCGGAGUAGGGCAUUGGAAACU